GGACUCCUCAGGUCACCUUCUCACAAUGAGGCUCCCUGCUCAGCUUCUGGGGCUGCUGGUGCUCUGGCUCCCUGGGACCAGUGGGGAUAUUGUGAUGACCCAGACUCCACUCUCCCUGCCCGUCACCCUUGGAGAGCCGGCCUCCAUCUCCUGCAGGUCUAGUCAGAGCCUCCUGCAUAGUGAUGGGUACACCUAUUUGGACUGGUACGUGCAGAAGCCAGGCCAGUCUCCACAGCUCCUGAUCUAUUUGGUUUCCAACCGGGCCUCUGGAGUCCCAGACAGGUUCAGUGGCAGUGGGUCAGGCACUGAUUUCACACUGAAAAUCAGCCGGGUGGAGGCUGAGGAUGUUGGGGUUUAUUACUGCAUGCAAGCUCUCAAAACUCAAUUUCCUUCUGAUCUGUGGAUUCAUGGCUGUGGCUGUACCACAUCCAGGAUGGGGGAGACUCAGGUCUCACUCAGAGUUGACAAGAACCUAGAAGCCCUGUCAGGACCUGAUUCCACAUGA
Molecule: non-coding RNA, 505 nt
Organism: Mandrillus leucophaeus (drill)
Lineage: Eukaryota; Metazoa; Chordata; Mammalia; Primates; Cercopithecidae
Source: the annotation of a RefSeq genome assembly